Molecule: ribosomal RNA, 204 nt
Filed under: uncultured bacterium
Lineage: Bacteria
Description: partial 16S ribosomal RNA
Rfam family: Bacterial small subunit ribosomal RNA
Source: RNAcentral
CGCGUAGGUGGUUGUAUAAGUCAGAUGUGAAUUUCAGGGCUUAACUCUGAAUUGCAUUUGAAACUAUAUAGCUCGAGUGCGGGAGAGGAGAGUAGAAUUCCCGGUGGAGCGGUGAAAUGCAUAGAUAUCGGGAGGAAACCAAUGGCGAAGGCAGCUCUCUGGACCGCAACUGACACUGAGGCGCGAAAGCGUGGGUAGCAAACA